UACGAAGGGGGCGAGCGUUGUUCGGAAUCACUGGGCGUAAAGGGCGCGUAGGCGGAUCGCUAAGUCAGGGGUGAAAUCCCAGGGCUCAACCCUGGAACUGCCUUUGAUACUGACGAUCUGGAGAUCGGGAGAGGUGAGUGGAAUUCCGAGUGUAGAGGUGAAAUUCGUAGAUAUUCGGAGGAACACCAGAAGCGAAGGCGGCUCACUGGCCCGAUACUGACGCUGAGGCGCGAAAGCGUGGGGAGCAAACAGG
Molecule: ribosomal RNA, 253 nt
Filed under: uncultured bacterium
Lineage: Bacteria
Description: partial 16S ribosomal RNA
Rfam family: Bacterial small subunit ribosomal RNA
Source: RNAcentral